Molecule: ribosomal RNA, 353 nt
Filed under: uncultured bacterium
Lineage: Bacteria
Description: bacterial SSU rRNA
Rfam family: Bacterial small subunit ribosomal RNA
Source: RNAcentral
AGAGUUUGAUCAUGGCUCAGGAUGAACGCUAGCUACAGGCUUAACACAUGCAAGUCGAGGGGCAUCAGUUUGGUUUGCUUGCAAACCAAAGCUGGCGACCGGCGCACGGGUGAGUAAUACGUAUCCAACCUGCCUCAUACUCGGGGAUAGCCUUUCGAAAGAAAGAUUAAUAUCCGAUAGCAUAUAUUUCCCGCAUGGGUUUAUAUUAAAGAAAUUCGGUAUGAGAUGGGGAUGCGUUCCAUUAGUUGUUGGCGGGGUAACGGCCCACCAAGACUACGAUGGAUAGGGGUUCUGGAGAGGAACGGUCCCCCACAUUGGAACUGAGACACGGUCCAAACUCCGUACGGGAGGCA